Molecule: long non-coding RNA, 310 nt
Filed under: Salmo salar (Atlantic salmon)
Lineage: Eukaryota; Metazoa; Chordata; Actinopteri; Salmoniformes; Salmonidae
Description: lncRNA (ENSSSAG00000122093.1)
Source: RNAcentral
AUAGUAGUUGUCGAGGGUGCAACAAGCACGUCCGGUGAACAGGUCAGGGUUCCAUAGCCGCAGGCAGAACAGUUGAAACUGGAGCAGCAGCACGGCCAGGUGGACUGGGGACAGCAAGGAGUCAUCAUGCCAGGUAGUCCUGAGGCAUGGUCCUAGGGCUCAGGUCCUCCGAGAGAAAGACAGAAAGAGAGAAUUAGAGAGAGCAUAUUUAAAUUCACACAGGACACCGGAUAAGACAAGAGAAAUACUCCAGAUGUAACAGACUGACCCUAGCCCCCCGACACAUAAACUACUGCAGCAUAAAUACGGG